This 446-nucleotide ribosomal RNA is filed under the name uncultured bacterium. Its description in RNAcentral is "bacterial SSU rRNA". It matches the Rfam family "Bacterial small subunit ribosomal RNA", at positions 355 to 825 of the family's 1533-position model. The record is from RNAcentral.
UGGGGAAUUUUGGACAAUGGGCGAAAGCCUGACCCAGCAACGCCGCGUGAAGGAUGAAGUAUUUCGGUAUGUAAACUUCGAAAGAAUAGGAAGAAUAAAUGACGGUACUAUUUAUAAGGUCCGGCUAACUACGUGCCAGCAGCCGCGGUAAUACGUAGGGUGCAAGCGUUAAUCGGAAUUACUGGGCGUAAAGCGUGCGCAGGCGGUUGUGUAAGUCAGAUGUGAAAUCCCCGGGCUCAACCUGGGAAUUGCAUUUGAGACUGCACGGCUAGAGUGUGUCAGAGGGGGUAGAAUUCCACGUGUAGCAGUGAAAUGCGUAGAUAUGUGGAGGAAUACCGAUGGCGAAGGCAGCCCCCUGGGAUAACACUGACGCUCAUGCACGAAAGCGUGGGGAGCAAACAGGAUUAGAUACCCUGGUAGUCCCUGAGCGGGCUGGCAAGGCGCAU